This 86-nucleotide transfer RNA is filed under the name Desmophyllum pertusum. RNAcentral describes it as "Lophelia pertusa tRNA". It matches the Rfam family "tRNA". Rfam says of the family: Transfer RNA (tRNA) molecules are approximately 80 nucleotides in length. Their secondary structure includes four short double-helical elements and three loops (D, anti-codon, and T loops). Further hydrogen bonds mediate the characteristic L-shaped molecular structure. tRNAs have two regions of fundamental functional importance: the anti-codon, which is responsible for specific mRNA codon recognition, and the 3' end, to which the tRNAs corresponding amino acid is attached (by aminoacyl-tRNA synthetases). tRNAs cope with the degeneracy of the genetic code in two manners: having more than one tRNA (with a specific anti-codon) for a particular amino acid; and 'wobble' base-pairing, i.e. permitting non-standard base-pairing at the 3rd anti-codon position. The record is from Rfam by way of RNAcentral. Lineage: Eukaryota; Metazoa; Cnidaria; Anthozoa; Scleractinia; Caryophylliidae.
GCCUCGUUAGCGCAGUAGGCAGCGCGUCAGUCUCAUAAUCUGAUUUCGAAAUCUGAAGGUCGUGAGUUCGAUCCUCACACGGGGCA